UGGGGAAUAUUGGGCAAUGGGGGCAACCCUGACCCAGCGACGCCGCGUGAAGGACGAAGGCAUUCGUGUUGUAAACUUCUUUGGAGAGGGACGAAGAUGACGGUACCUCUCGAACAAGCCACGGCUAACUACGUGCCAGCAGCCGCGGUAAUACGUAGGUGGCAAGCGUUAUCCGGAAUUACUGGGUGUAAAGGGCGCGCAGGCGGCCCUGCAAGUCGGAUGUGAAAGAUCAAGGCUCAACCUUGACAGGCCAUUCGAAACUGUGGGACUUGAGUGUCAGAGGGGAAAGUGGAAUUCCUAGUGGAGCGGUAAAAUGCGCAGAUAUUAGGAGGAACACCGGUGGCGAAGGCGACUUUCUGGCUGACAACUGACGCUGAGGCGCGAAAGCGUGGGGAGCAAA
Molecule: ribosomal RNA, 400 nt
Filed under: uncultured bacterium
Lineage: Bacteria
Description: bacterial SSU rRNA
Rfam family: Bacterial small subunit ribosomal RNA
Source: RNAcentral